This 1019-nucleotide ribosomal RNA is filed under the name uncultured bacterium. RNAcentral describes it as "bacterial SSU rRNA". It matches the Rfam family "Bacterial small subunit ribosomal RNA", at positions 355 to 1375 of the family's 1533-position model. The record is from RNAcentral.
UGAGGAAUAUUGGUCAAUGGGCGAGAGCCUGAACCAGCCAAGUAGCGUGCAGGAUGACGGCCCUAUGGGUUGUAAACUGCUUUUAUAAGGGAAUAAAGUGAGAGUCGUGACUCUUUUUGCAUGUACCUUAUGAAUAAGGACCGGCUAAUUCCGUGCCAGCAGCCGCGGUAAUACGGAAGGUCCGGGCGUUAUCCGGAUUUAUUGGGUUUAAAGGGAGCGUAGGCCGGAGAUUAAGCGUGUUGUGAAAUGUAGACGCUCAACGUCUGCACUGCAGCGCGAACUGGUUUCCUUGAGUACGCACAAAGUGGGCGGAAUUCGUGGUGUAGCGGUGAAAUGCUUAGAUAUCACGAAGAACUCCGAUUGCGAAGGCAGCUCACUGGAGCGCAACUGACGCUGAAGCUCGAAAGUGCGGGUAUCGAACAGGAUUAGAUACCCUGGUAGUCCGCACGGUAAACGAUGGAUGCCCGCUGUUGGUCUGAACAGGUCAGCGGCCAAGCGAAAGCAUUAAGCAUCCCACCUGGGGAGUACGCCGGCAACGGUGAAACUCAAAGGAAUUGACGGGGGCCCGCACAAGCGGAGGAACAUGUGGUUUAAUUCGAUGAUACGCGAGGAACCUUACCCGGGCUUGAAUUGCAGAGGAAGGAUUUGGAGACAAUGACGCCCUUCGGGGCCUCUGUGAAGGUGCUGCAUGGUUGUCGUCAGCUCGUGCCGUGAGGUGUCGGCUUAAGUGCCAUAACGAGCGCAACCCCUCUCCUUAGUUGCCAUCAGGUUAAGCUGGGCACUCUGGGGACACUGCCACCGUAAGGUGUGAGGAAGGUGGGGAUGACGUCAAAUCAGCACGGCCCUUACGUCCGGGGCUACACACGUGUUACAAUGGCAGGUACAGAGAGACGGUCCCUUGCAAAAUGGAUCAAAUCCUUAAAGCCUGUCUCAGUUCGGACUGGGGUCUGCAACCCGACCCCACGAAGCUGGAUUCGCUAGUAAUCGCGCAUCAGCCAUGGCGCGGUGAAUACGUUCCC